GACGUAGGGUGCGAGCGUUGUCCGGAUUUACUGGGCGUAAAGAGCGCGUAGGCGGCUUACUAAGUGAGAAGUGAAAUCUCCAGGGCUCAACCCGGAAACUGCUUCUCAUACUGGUGAGCUGGAGGGAUGCAGAGGUAUGUGGAAUUCCUGGUGUACCGGUGAAAUGGGUAGAUAUCAGGAGGAACUCCGAUGGCGAAGGCAGCAUACUGGGCAUUUCCUGACGCUGAGGCGCGAAAGCGUGGGUAGCAAACAGG
RNAcentral lists this ribosomal RNA (254 nucleotides) under uncultured bacterium. RNAcentral describes it as "partial 16S ribosomal RNA". It matches the Rfam family "Bacterial small subunit ribosomal RNA", at positions 524 to 776 of the family's 1533-position model. The record is from RNAcentral.